Molecule: long non-coding RNA, 596 nt
Organism: Camelina sativa (false flax)
Lineage: Eukaryota; Viridiplantae; Streptophyta; Magnoliopsida; Brassicales; Brassicaceae
Source: RefSeq, a predicted model, not a curated record
UCAAACCUAAAAAAAAUUAUUCUUUCGCCUCUCGAUAUUAGUCUCUCCGAUACUGAAUCCCUAAAGAAAGGAAGACAAUCUGAUUUUUAAUCACCCAACCCAGUCCACGAUUCCCAGAGAAUUGGAACCAACAUAAGUGUGGGAAGAGGAGACUUUAAGCAAGAGAAGAAGGCAAAGGAAGAAGAUUCAGAAUUUACUCAAGCAUCGUAUAUAUACUAAGGCACGAUUUUAAGAUGAGAUUAAUUACAACUAAUCUUAUGACUUAAAGAGAGAGAGAGCAAUGGAGAUAUCGAAAUACAAGGCGAUCUUAGCGUUAGUGUUUUUGCAUUUUACGUCGGCUGAUUUCAUUGAAGGACUCAAUUCCACCGUCUUUGUUGUUUACCAUCAAGCCAGAGCCACUCAUUUCAUUUGCCCCAUCUCUUUCAUCUCCGGCCGCUUAGAAAAAAACAAAAAACAACCUUGUCUUGGAGUAAGAGGCUUUUGGUGGGUGGCUCUCAUGGCUGUUGUUGAAUCAAAACCCUCAUUUUAAAGGAAUUGAAAUCAUUUAAAAAAAAUAUGAUUUCUCAUAUUAAAUUAAAGUUUGGAAUAAUGUUGUU